CUUUGGGAUAACCCUCGGAAACGGGGGCUAAUACCGGAUAUGACUUCCUGUCGCAUGGUGGGGGGUGGAAAGUUUUUCGGCCUGGGAUGGGCUCGCGGCCUAUCAGCUUGUUGGUGGGGUGAUGGCCUACCAAGGCGACGACGGGUAGCCGGCCUGAGAGGGCGACCGGCCACACUGGGACUGAGACACGGCCCAGACUCCUACGGGAGGCAGCAGUGGGGAAUAUUGCACAAUGGGCGGAAGCCUGAUGCAGCGACGCCGCGUGAGGGAUGACGGCCUUCGGGUUGUAAACCUCUUUCAGCAGGGACGAAGCGCAAGUGACGGUACCUGCAGAAGAAGCGCCGGCCAACUACGUGCCAGCGGCCGCGGUAAGACGUAGGGCGCGAGCGUUGUCCGGAUUUGUUGGGCGUAAGAGCUCGUAGGCGGCUUGUCGCGUCGACCGUGAAAACUUGGGGCUCAACCCCAAGCCUGCGGUCGAUACGGGCAGGCUAGAGUUCGGUAGAGGAGACUGGAAUUCCUGGUGUAGCGGUGAAAUGCGCAGAUAUCAGGGGGAACACCGGUGGCGAAGGCGGGUCUCUGGGCCGAUACUGACGCUGAGGAGCGAAAGCGUGGGGAGCGAACAGGAUUAGAUACCCUGGUAGUCCACGCUGUAAACGUUGGGCGC
This 664-nucleotide ribosomal RNA is filed under the name uncultured Micromonosporaceae bacterium. RNAcentral describes it as "bacterial SSU rRNA". It matches the Rfam family "Bacterial small subunit ribosomal RNA", at positions 136 to 816 of the family's 1533-position model. The record is from RNAcentral. Lineage: Bacteria; Bacillati; Actinomycetota; Actinomycetes; Micromonosporales; Micromonosporaceae.